GAAGGCAAUUGAUGCAAUUUUCUUAUUAUACACACUGAAUAUCUGUGUGGACUAAACUCCGCUUAUUAUCUGAUGCCUUG
Andrographis paniculata is the source of this 80-nucleotide small nucleolar RNA. RefSeq annotates it as small nucleolar RNA R16. NCBI's taxonomy places the organism in Eukaryota, Viridiplantae, Streptophyta, Magnoliopsida, Lamiales, Acanthaceae. The record is from RefSeq and is a predicted model, not a curated record. The transcript has a single exon.